CGUCAAACUUGAACAAAGCAAGUCCCAAGCCCCAGAUUAUAGCAUAGAAAGAGAAAUUUGGUAUUGAGUUAUUUCAUUUCUUUCUGCUGUCAUCAUCUUUUUGGAUUCAAAUUAAACUCUGCAGAAAAGAGUUCCUGUUGUAAGACCUGUCGCUGCUUGGAAUCUGAAUCAUGGUACAAAACAUGACUUCACAGGCAGACUUGAACAUUCUUAUACUUUUAUUUUUAAUGUACCCUUUGUAUUUCCUUAAAGAAUACAUGUGUGUUUGAUCAGUCAUGAUGGCCGAAUCCAAGGGUAGAAGUUGAGAGGAAACUACUGUUGGCAAAUAUAUUCUUAUUGUGUUGUUGUAAUUAUUCACGAGGCACGGACAAAAGAGAGAAAUGACCACGACUCAUGGACGGCCAGACCCCAUAUUCUCUUCCUUCUCUCUCAUUUGGGGCCCCUUUUUCUUUCCAAUAAAACUAAAUGAUUAUCCUUAUCAUCAUCAUGUUUGUUGUUUUGUCCAUGGUAUUUAGCACAAAACCCUUAUUCGCUUCCUUCUGUUCCAUCUCCUUAUAACACCACAUAGCUGGCUGCAUUGAGCACUCCUUCAUGAUCAAGAAAAGAGAGAAGCUUGCCAAGAAAUUACAAGAUGGUAGCUGGCUGCUUGCUAGUUAGAAAGGAAGCUUGUCUUUUGAGGGGAAUGUUGUUUGGUUCAAGGCCUGGCCACCCCAUGUCUUGGAAUUUAAAAUAUCAUGUCCUCGGACCAGGCUUCAUUCCCCUCAAUUACUGCUUCCAAAUAUGCAUGAUCAGAUCAUUUUGGAUCAACUUCGAGAUAUGGAGGUGACGAUUUUUUUUCUUUUUUUAUACGGUUUCCCUUUGCUUUUAUCAGCUUUUUUUCUUUGGUUGAUGAAUUCCAUGUUAUAGUUAAAUUUCACAUAGAUCAAGGUUGUUGACUAAUUACUAGCAGAUUGGAGUAAUGAUGAGACAUUUUGACUGUCUUGUGAUCCGAUGGGUAGACACUUAAAUCUUAAUCAUUGCUUCCUGCUGUGAGUAUGAAUGAUCUAAAGUACUAUUCAAUUAGUACUUAAGUUUUCAACUUAGGUUAUCAUGGGGCUAUGAGAUUUUGUCAGUACUCCUCUCUCCUUUCCAAUUGAUAACCUUUUUUGUGUUUUUCAUCAUUGGAUGGAUGGAUGGAUUUUUUACAUGUUCGAUAUUUUUUCAAAGGAACUGGAGAUAUGUGUCUGCAACUCUCUUCUUGAGCAGUAGCUAGGAGAGGUGCAAAAAGAAAUGAUAAAAGAAUUGUCAAAAUUUAGCCUGCAGAACUUGAAAGAACAAAACCCUUUUGAAGACCGAGGCUUUUUCUAUAUGUUAUUGCUUAAUGGGGGUGGUUGGAUCUGCAGAGUUUGUAGAUAUUUCUCUGCUUUCUUUACCUUCCCCAAUGUCUUACUUCCAGUUCAUUGUAUAUUAAUUAAACUCAUUAGAGAAUAUAUCCAUUUACAUUUUAGUGGAAGACAAGCAGCUGCACUAAAGAUUUGAAGCCAAGUAUAUAUAGAGCAGUGGAUAUGUUCUCUAGUAUUUGAUUCCCAUGAUCACUUUCUUUACUAAAAGAGAGGUAUCUUUCUACUUCUAUCUCUCAACUUGAAACCUUUAAAUCUUUUCAAAUCCUUUCUUCUUGUUGACGCAACUAAUUUACUUAAUAAUCUUCCAUACAAUUUAUUCCCUUUCCAAAUCAUAUAUAUAUAUGGCUAAAAUCUUGACUUAAUUUGUUCAAGCUGGUUUCAGUCUAUCAAAUCUUCAUGCAAGAAUUCAAUCACCACAUUAAGAAGCUGAUUUUAUCCUUUGGACAAACACAGGACUUGAGCUAGAAAUGGCAAUGAACACCUUUUAAAUCCUUACAUACAGGCUUGAAGAAGCUUUGAAGCUUCUUCUUCUUUAAUUGUGCUUUGUUUCUUGUGAAAUAGACAAAUCUGGAACUACCAUGGGAUCUAACUCUAGAAUAUUGGUGUAACACAUCAUUGUGGAAGAUUUUGAUAUCUUUGACUACAAGUUACAACUGGAGUUACUGAUUUCUUCCAUGCAAUUUCGUUAGGGUAAAAAUUUAGAGAAAAUUGUUACAGGGUUUCCAAUUUGCAUGAGAAAGGAAAGGUAAUCAUUGAAAUACAUGGCAUGCCAUGCAACACUUUAA
Molecule: long non-coding RNA, 2167 nt
Organism: Populus trichocarpa (black cottonwood)
Lineage: Eukaryota; Viridiplantae; Streptophyta; Magnoliopsida; Malpighiales; Salicaceae
Exons: 2
Source: RefSeq, a predicted model, not a curated record